Molecule: long non-coding RNA, 525 nt
Organism: Piliocolobus tephrosceles (Ugandan red Colobus)
Lineage: Eukaryota; Metazoa; Chordata; Mammalia; Primates; Cercopithecidae
Source: Ensembl
UAAAAUAAAUAUUUUUGGAGUAUGCAUAAAUUUAAAUGUUCAUUUUAUUUUAUUUUUUUUAUUUAAAAUUAUUUUUCUAUGUAUUAAUUCGAGAUAGAAACACACAGGCAAUAUUAUCUGAAAAGGACCAAAAGGAUUUGCUACAAGCCGCUAAUUUUAGCGAAGCAGAUAUAAAAAAAAUGUAUAAAAGGUUUGUUCAGCUUGAUACUAACAAAAAUGGACAGCUAGAUCCUCAUGAGUUAUUUAAUGUUCCUGAAAUAAGUGACAACCCAUUAGUAAAAAGAGUUAUAUCAAUAUUUGAUUCCAACUCAGAUGGAAAAGUAUCUUUCGUUGAAUUUUUAGUUGGAAUAAGUAAAUCAUAGAAGAUUUUUUUUUUUUUUUUUUUAUUACCUCAUUAAAUUAUUAUCAUUUAAAUAUCAUUACGUACAAGUAAACUUUUAUGCAUUUUUUUUUUUUUUUUUUUUUUUUUAUAGCAAAGCUAGCUUCAAGUACUGACGAUUUUCAAAAGAAGAAAUUCGCUUUUGA